RNAcentral lists this ribosomal RNA (454 nucleotides) under uncultured bacterium. Its description in RNAcentral is "bacterial SSU rRNA". It matches the Rfam family "Bacterial small subunit ribosomal RNA", at positions 1 to 507 of the family's 1533-position model. The record is from RNAcentral.
AGUAGUUUGAUCAUGGCUCGAGGACGAACGCUGGCGGCAUGCCUAACACAUGCAAGUCGAACGAAGCCUUCGGGCUUAGUGGCGCACGGGUGCGUAACGCGUGGGAAUCUGCCCUUGGGUUCGGAAUAACAGUUAGAAAUGACUGCUAAUACCGAAUGAUGUCUUCGGACCAAAGAUUUAUCGCCUUUAGAUGGGCCCGCGUAAGAUUAGCUAGUUGGUGGGGUAAAGGCCUACCAAGGCGACGAUCUUUAGCUGGUCUGAGAGGAUGAUCAGCCACACUGGGACUGAGACACGGCCCAGACUCCUACGGGAGGCAGCAGUGGGGAAUAUUGGACAAUGGGCGAAAGCCUGAUCCAGCAAUGCCGCGUGAGUGAUGAAGGCCUUAGGGUUGUAAAGCUCUUUACCCGAGAUGAUAAUGACAGUAUCGGGAGAAUAAGCUCCGGCUAACUCCGUG